RNAcentral lists this ribosomal RNA (1383 nucleotides) under uncultured bacterium. RNAcentral describes it as "bacterial SSU rRNA". It matches the Rfam family "Bacterial small subunit ribosomal RNA", at positions 18 to 1395 of the family's 1533-position model. The record is from RNAcentral.
CCUGGCUCAGGAUGAACGCUAGCUACAGGCUUAACACAUGCAAGUCGAGGGGCAUCAGGAAGAAAGCUUGCUUUCUUUGCUGGCGACCGGCGCACGGGUGAGUAACACGUAUCCAACCUGCCCUUUACUCGGGGAUAGCCUUUCGAAAGAAAGAUUAAUACCCGAUAGUAUAAUGAUUCCGCAUGGUUUCAUUAUUAAAGGAUUCCGGUAAAGGAUGGGGAUGCGUUCCAUUAGGUUGUUGGUGAGGUAACGGCUCACCAAGCCUUCGAUGGAUAGGGGUUCUGAGAGGAAGGUCCCCCACAUUGGAACUGAGACACGGUCCAAACUCCUACGGGAGGCAGCAGUGAGGAAUAUUGGUCAAUGGGCGCGAGCCUGAACCAGCCAAGUAGCGUGAAGGAUGACUGCCCUAUGGGUUGUAAACUUCUUUUAUAUUAGAAUAAAGUGCAGUAUGUAUACUGUUUUGUAUGUAUAAUAUGAAUAAGGAUCGGCUAACUCCGUGCCAGCAGCCGCGGUAAUACGGAGGAUCCGAGCGUUAUCCGGAUUUAUUGGGUUUAAAGGGAGCGUAGGUGGACUGGUAAGUCAGUUGUGAAAGUUUGCGGCUCAACCGUAAAAUUGCAGUUGAUACUGUCAGUCUUGAGUACAGUAGAGGUGGGCGGAAUUCGUGGUGUAGCGGUGAAAUGCUUAGAUAUCACGAAGAACUCCGAUUGCGAAGGCAGCUCACUGGACUGCAACUGACACUGAUGCUCGAAAGUGUGGGUAUCAAACAGGAUUAGAUACCCUGGUAGUCCACACAGUAAACGAUGAAUACUCGCUGUUUGCGAUAUACAGUAAGCGGCCAAGCGAAAGCAUUAAGUAUUCCACCUGGGGAGUACGCCGGCAACGGUGAAACUCAAAGGAAUUGACGGGGGCCCGCACAAGCGGAGGAACAUGUGGUUUAAUUCGAUGAUACGCGAGGAACCUUACCCGGGCUUAAAUUGCAGUGGAAUGAUGUGGAAACAUGUCAGUGAGCAAUCACCGCUGUGAAGGUGCUGCAUGGUUGUCGUCAGCUCGUGCCGUGAGGUGUCGGCUUAAGUGCCAUAACGAGCGCAACCCUUAUCUUUAGUUACUAACAGGUCAUGCUGAGGACUCUAGAGAGACUGCCGUCGUAAGAUGUGAGGAAGGUGGGGAUGACGUCAAAUCAGCACGGCCCUUACGUCCGGGGCUACACACGUGUUACAAUGGGGGGUACAGAAGGCAGCUACCUGGUGACAGGAUGCUAAUCCCAAAAGCCUCUCUCAGUUCGGAUCGAAGUCUGCAACCCGACUUCGUGAAGCUGGAUUCGCUAGUAAUCGCGCAUCAGCCACGGCGCGGUGAAUACGUUCCAGGGCCUUGUACACACCGCCC